CAGACUUGACAUCCUGUGAACCCCUCAGAGACGUGGGGGUGCCUUCGGGAGCACAGAGACAGGUGCUGCAUGGCUGUCGUCAGCUCGUGUCGUGAGAUGUUCGGUUAAGUCCGGCAACGAGCGCAACCCUUGUCUUCAGUUGCCAGCACGUAAAGGUGGGAACUCUGAAGAGACUGCCCCGGUUAACGGGGAGGAAGGUGGGGAUGACAUCAAGUCCUCAUGGCCCUUAUGUCAGGGGCUACACACGUGCUACAAUGGUAUGUACAAAGGGCAGCAAGCAUGCGAGUGCAAGCCAAUCCCUUAAAGCAUAUCCCAGUCCGGAUUGGAGUCUGCAACUCGACUCCAUGAAGUUGGAAUCGCUAGUAAUCGUGGAUCAGCAUGCCACGGUGAAUACGUUCCCGGGCCU
Molecule: ribosomal RNA, 406 nt
Filed under: uncultured bacterium
Lineage: Bacteria
Description: bacterial SSU rRNA
Rfam family: Bacterial small subunit ribosomal RNA
Source: RNAcentral